This is a long non-coding RNA of Cynoglossus semilaevis (tongue sole), 1061 nucleotides long. RefSeq lists it as uncharacterized. Lineage: Eukaryota; Metazoa; Chordata; Actinopteri; Pleuronectiformes; Cynoglossidae. The record is from RefSeq and is a predicted model, not a curated record. The transcript is spliced from 2 exons.
AAUUAGCGUUUGUGCAGCUUGUGUGCUUCUGUGGAGUAAAAGUUGUCUGAGUAUGUUAGUCAUGGUCUCAAGUGCAGACACGUCUGUGGGGGCGGAGUUGAACCCAGUGCCUUUGGGACCUGAGAAUCCUGGUGUGGUAGGAUUGGGAGAUGAACACCCUGACUUGACCUCUCUCACCCUGAAUGCCUUCUGCCUUGUUUUGUACCACACCGACAGUAUCCGUACGCCAAAGCUCUGCCAAAGUUCCACAGGCUGAAUUACACUCAAGUGGCCUUGUAGCCAGUGUUUGAUCCUCAGUGUCUCAGCUCCAAAAAAAAAAAAAAAAAAAAAAACUCAGGUCGUGUGGAUUUACAGGUUUGUCGGCACUCCAGAAUAUGCAAAACCUGUAAGAAAACAUAAAUUCUUGAUAGUGAUAUUUUAAUAACUUAAAAUUCACAAUUUGGCCAAAUAAAUAAAGCAGAAAAAAAAAGUUUAUUUAUUUCUCCUGGAAAUAUACCGGUACAUAAACAGAUGUGUUUCUUUGUAGUGAUAGUUGUAAUAAUGAAUGAUAAUAAGAUGUGAAUGACGUUCCAGAACAUUAACGCAUCACUGUCUGUUAACACAGUGGAGAAGGAGCCAGGGCUUGAACCAACCAUGUGACUGCAGUUCUUACUUGUGUUUGAGUUCAACAGAGUUUUAUUAGCAGCUUCAGGUAGAAGUUAAAAGGAUCCAGUGACUGAAGAAUAACACACCUGUGUGUCUUGUUGGACGUGAACGCAGCACACGUGCCUCAUUAAGAUGAACGGCUUCAGAACAGAAGAGUGUUCUUCAGCUGUUCUCUGCAGCUGCCGCCGCUGCCGUCGCUGCUGUCGCUGCCGUCGUGGCUGCUGCAGCAGGCAGGUGCAGCCACCGUGUGCUGAGCCCUGUGCGCUCAGCAGCGUAAUCAGCCGCAGCCAUGAGGGGAUCAACGUGACUGUCUGUCCCACGUCCUGACGAUCGCAGCGGACGCCCCGCGGUCAUCGUCCACGGGCUGCAGCACGUGGCUCGCACGCUGUUGUUGACUGCAGUCGCUCCACAAUGGA